GCAUUGGUACUCCGCAUCAGUGUGCCGCGAACCCCGCCAGGUCCGGAAGGAAGCAACGGUAGUGGUGAUAUUGAGUGCCGGAGAGCGCUGGUGCAGG
This 97-nucleotide signal recognition particle RNA is filed under the name Cardiobacteriaceae bacterium. Its description in RNAcentral is "signal recognition particle sRNA small type". It matches the Rfam family "Bacterial small signal recognition particle RNA". From Rfam's summary of the family: The signal recognition particle (SRP) is a universally conserved ribonucleoprotein involved in the co-translational targeting of proteins to membranes. The record is from RNAcentral. Lineage: Bacteria; Pseudomonadati; Pseudomonadota; Gammaproteobacteria; Cardiobacteriales; Cardiobacteriaceae.